RNAcentral lists this microRNA precursor (77 nucleotides) under Schistosoma margrebowiei. RNAcentral describes it as "mir-3492 microRNA precursor family". It matches the Rfam family "mir-3492 microRNA precursor family". The record is from Rfam by way of RNAcentral. Lineage: Eukaryota; Metazoa; Platyhelminthes; Trematoda; Strigeidida; Schistosomatidae.
AGCCUUCUGUAUCCGUGCUGAGAUUUCGUCCCACACCAGGUCACAAGGGUUGAUGAGACCUCCAAAUAAGUGAAGCG